CAGCAGCCGCGGUAAUACGUAGGGUGCAAGCGUUAAUCGGAAUUACUGGGCGUAAAGCGUGCGCAGGCGGUUAUAUAAGACAGAUGUGAAAUCCCCGGGCUCAACCUGGGAACUGCAUUUGUGACUGUAUAGCUAGAGUACGGCAGAGGGGGAUGGAAUUCCGCGUGUAGCAGUGAAAUGCGUAGAUAUGCGGAGGAACACCGAUGGCGAAGGCAAUCCCCUGGGCCUGUACUGACGCUCAUGCACGAAAGCGUGGGGAGCAAACAAGAUUAGAUACCCCAGUAGUCCCUGUCUCUUAUAC
This 301-nucleotide ribosomal RNA is filed under the name uncultured bacterium. RNAcentral's name for it is "partial 16S ribosomal RNA". It matches the Rfam family "Bacterial small subunit ribosomal RNA", at positions 509 to 807 of the family's 1533-position model. The record is from RNAcentral.